CUAUAGGUACCUAAUAUUUGUUGUUUAUUUUUUAUUGUGAAUAAUUAUUCAAGGUACCUAGGUGAUACUACCAAUUUAUUAUUGUUAUUCAAAUAUGAAUGUUGAUAAUAAUUUAUAAUUUAUUAAUUUAAUAUUAUUUGAUUACAUGGGUUGUUAAGUACUAGGUAAGUAAAGCAAUUUCGAUCGUUUAUGUAGAUAUGUACAGCUGAAUAUCUGUUCAUUGUUAUGCAUGUAAAUCCGCUUUCGUGUGAAGCGCGAUGUUAAAUUUGUGUUUUAAAAAGCAGCUCCAGACCACGAGAGCAAACAACUCGCGAUCAAAGAUUCAUUAAUUUAACGAGUAAAAAGUAGAAGAAAGUAAAAGAGGAAAAGUCCAAAUUCAAAAAUAAAGCUUGUUUUGUUUUAAAUGGGUAGCCGAUAAUACAAUAUUUCCGAGAAGUGAUUUUGAAUAACUACUAUGCUGCCUGUUUUGUGUUUACUUUAAAAUCAUCAGUAAGUUGUGUAUUUAUGCCAGGAGAUCGAUUCAAAGGGGAUAAAUGUUGCUAAACGUUUGUGUUUGGAAAUCAAAAUUUUCACUGAUACUUACGAAGUUUUUAAAAAUUGUGCGUCUGUUGUUGAAUAGGUAGUGGUUUAAUAAUGUGCAGAAUAUUUUUGGUAAUAUAUCUAAUAGAAAUUAGAACAUUAAAUUUCUAUCUAAGUUUGGUAGCUAGAAGGUAGUUUUAUUGUAAUUUAAAGUUUAAAUGUACAAUAUUCAGAAAUGUUCCUGUAUUAUCCUAUAUUCGAAAAUCGUUUUUGAUAACGCAAAAUUGUCUCUGGAAAUAAUGUAAAAACUACUGUAUAAUAAUAUAAAGGUACGUAUAAAUCGAUUUAACAUUUACAACACCAACUGUAUUUGCUUAAUGACAGUUUUGAAAUUUUGAAUGUGCAUACGUAAACAUAAAUAGAAUCCUAUAUAAUAUUACAAGUACACGCGCAAGUCCCGAGUGCAUUAGUAAUUGCAAUUUUCAAGUAAAUCGAAAUACAAACAAUAUUAUUCAGCAUGUUCGGUGAAUACAAAAUGAAAAUAAUGUUUAAAACGAAAAAAAAAAUUGUUUAAUAUUUAAGUAUAAAAAAAUAUCAUCAAACAAUAAUUGUAAUAUUAUGUAUUUAUUUAGGACGGUCCGUUACUUAAUAUGUAGUCAAUUUAAGGACACAAUUGUAUUGUAAUAACAACGAAAUAAACUAUGAUUAAUAAUUUUUAUUGUGAAUGUUUGCAGUUGGUGAAUGUUGACAGUUACCAUUAUAUUAUUAUAUCGUCGUAUACCAAAGUAUUAGGUUAAUAUUGACAUAUUAACUAAAUUUGUACAGCGUUUCUAAACAUUUUUUAGUGACUGUUGGUAUGAUGAUGAUAUUGUUUUCUUUAAAUGUACCUAAUAUAGAGAUAAUGGAAAAGUCUCAGUAGUCAGUACGUAAAUAUAAUAAUAAUAAAUAAAAUUUUUUCCCAAAAUAUUUUAGCUGUAAAAUUACAUACAUAUUAUCUAAUAUUUUUUAAAUAAAGAUUUUUCUAAAUUCUGUUAUGAAUCAAUUAUACACCAGAAAUUAGUUUUCGGUGGGCAUUGAAAACAUUAUAUCGAUCGCUGAUGUACUAUAGGAUCAAAAAAUCUCUUUAAGGCAAACUUCUUUAUCAAAUUAAACAAAAAAUUAUGGGCAAGGAUACACACGAUGCAAUCACAAAACAAAGUCAACUACAAAACAGCGUGAUUUUGAAUAUAUUGGCAUUUUAUGUAACACAAAAUGCCAUGACAGUUUGUCAUGUUGCAAUAAUUAAAUUUGCACCAAUUUGUAUACCCAAUUAACAAUAAAAAUCGAACGUGCCAAAAAUAUUAUUUUAAUAAAAUAUAUGAUAUAUGUAUAAUGUAUAUAUAUUAUAUAUUGAUAAGUGAUAACUCUCAGCAUAAUGUAGGUAAUAAAGUGGGAUUGACAAUUAAAAGUUUCCCUUUUCGUUCAUAUUAAAGGAGAUACAUAUUAUUAACCCCCAUAAUAGCAUAUUAGUAUAGGUAUUUUAGAUUUUUUGAAAAGAUUGACGAAUGUAUUGAUUUUAUAAUAAAGUAGGUAUUUUUUUUUUUUUUUAUUUUAUUUUUUUUACUGUUUACACGAUAGAUGAAAAAAUGUUUCAAUAUUCAACAUUGAGCGGUUUUUGAUAACACAUUAAAUCUAGUUUGUAUUUUUGGGGGUUAACAUUUAAAAUGAUGUUUAUUUUUCAAUGUUCUAUCUAUCGUUGGAAAAAUAAAACAAUAAUUAAAAUUAAAAUUAUAUAAAACGACAAUAAAAAAGUUUUUCAGUACUUACCUAGUAAAAAUUAAUAUUUUUAACUAACCUAACGCCAUAAUUGUGAAAAUUCAAGCUUAGUGUUAAAAAUCACACUGCAAUUCUUACUUUCUAAAAUUAUGUAAAAUUAAAAAUAAGUGGAAAAGCAAACAACAGGUAUUGCCAGCAUACUUUGAUAACAAAAACUAUACUAUUCUAUGGUAAUAAUUAACUUUUACGAAUUUAUUUAUUCGUGAAUAUCAAGUAAGCAGUUCUCGUGAUCAUUUUAGCCAACUUUUCGGUCAAUACUCAUUCUUCUGCUUUAUCAAAAUAUUAUUAAUAAUAAUAUUAACAAGUUGCCAGAAAUACGGGGUUUCAAUACGUUCCAAUUAAAAAAAUAAACUUUUUUUUUUAGUGUAUUUUUUAUUUUAAAGUUUU
Molecule: long non-coding RNA, 2721 nt
Organism: Aphis gossypii (cotton aphid)
Lineage: Eukaryota; Metazoa; Arthropoda; Insecta; Hemiptera; Aphididae
Exons: 3
Source: RefSeq, a predicted model, not a curated record